Molecule: ribosomal RNA, 492 nt
Filed under: uncultured bacterium
Lineage: Bacteria
Description: partial 16S ribosomal RNA
Rfam family: Bacterial small subunit ribosomal RNA
Source: RNAcentral
AUUGAACGCUGGCGGCAUGCUUUACACAUGCAAGUCGAACGGUAACAGGCCUUCGGGUGCUGACGAGUGGCGAACGGGUGAGUAAUGCAUCGGAACGUGCCCAGAGGUGGGGGAUAACGCGGCGAAAGCUGUGCUAAUACCGCAUGUGAUCUGAGGAUGAAAGCGGGGGACCAAGCAGCAAUGUUUGGCCUCGCGCCUCUGGAGCGGCCGAUGUCAGAUUAGGUAGUUGGUGGGGUAAAGGCCUGCCAAGCCGACGAUCUGUAGCUGGUCUGAGAGGACGACCAGCCACACUGGGACUGAGACACGGCCCAGACUCCUACGGGAGGCAGCAGUGGGGAAUUUUGGACAAUGGGCGCAAGCCUGAUCCAGCAAUGCCGCGUGCGGGAAGAAGGCCUUCGGGUUGUAAACCGCUUUUGUACGGAACGAAAAGGCUCUGGCUAAUACCUGGGGCUGAUGACGGUACCGUAAGAAUAAGCACCGGCUAACUACGUG